UCGAGACAGAAUUUGUAAUUGACAAUUUUAGUUAAGAAUGAAAAAUAUAGUGCUCUUGUUAGAUUCGUCGUAAAGUAUACUACAAAAAUAUCACUUUAAUAAAAAAUGAUUAGAGAUAAAGUAACUAAAAUACUCUGUAACGCAUUGAUAAGCGUUUUUAUUUUACAUUUAUCUUUAACGAAUUGAUAAGCGUUAAAAAUAAAUGUUGCCUCUAAAAAACGAGUGAAGUAUAGAGAUGAGACUCCUUUGAUACAAGUACUUUUAAUAGCGGAAAAUUUGUCAAUUACAACCCAAUAAAGUUUACACUUUGCGAAUUACAACCUUAAAUUUUCAAUUUCGCGAAUUACAACCUCAAACUUAAUCCCGUAUUUUAAAUUACAACUCAAUGUCAUAUUCCGGCGAAAACGAUCGGAUUAUGAUGUCAUUAUUAUAUUUUAUACCUAAUUAAUAAUUCAAAAAAAAAAAGAAAAAAAACCAUAAUAAUAAAUUCAAAAAAAAAAACAAAAAAAGUCCCCAAAAAUCCAUUCACUAUCAUUUCGAUUACAAUUCCCUCCUCCCAUUAACUUCUGCUCAACUCCUCUCACUCCCCAAUAACUCAUCUUUUCAACUUCAAUGCUAAGAUUUUCAUAAAUUUACUCCCUCGAUGCUAUUUCAGUGUGCUAUAUCUCUCUAUAUAUUUUGUCAACAUAAGAGGACACCAUUACAGGUUGAAGGUUGGAAGCUUCAACAAUGAUGACAGAGGAGAGGCACUAUCCUAUUUGAGGGGUGCCAUUGACGUUUGUGCAUAGAAGAUGAACACAUACGCAAUGAAGAAAGAUUAGAAAAUUACAGGGUUGAAAUUAGGCAGAAUGACGUGAAUGUGCACUGUAUUUUGGGGAUUUUUAAAAUAAAAAAUCUGAUUCUGUUUUUUGUUUUUAUUUUGGAAUUAUUAAUUCGGUAUAAAACAUAAUAAUGACAUCAUAAUCCGAUCGUUUUUGCCGGAAUAUGACAUCGGGUUGUAAUUUAAAGUAUGGCAUUAAGUUUGAGGUUGUAAUUCACAAAACUGAAAGUUUAAGGUUGUAAUUCGCAAAGUGUAACCUUUAUUGGGUUGUAAUUGGCAAAUUUUCCUUUAAUAGCACAUCAGCUUGUUGGAUACUAA
Molecule: long non-coding RNA, 1138 nt
Organism: Spinacia oleracea (spinach)
Lineage: Eukaryota; Viridiplantae; Streptophyta; Magnoliopsida; Caryophyllales; Amaranthaceae
Exons: 2
Source: RefSeq, a predicted model, not a curated record